This 460-nucleotide ribosomal RNA is filed under the name uncultured bacterium. Its description in RNAcentral is "partial 16S ribosomal RNA". It matches the Rfam family "Bacterial small subunit ribosomal RNA", at positions 338 to 795 of the family's 1533-position model. The record is from RNAcentral.
CCUACGGGAGGCAGCAGUGAGGAAUAUUGGUCAAUGGGCUUACGCCUGAACCAGCCAAGUCGCGUGAGGGAAGACUGCCCUAUGGGUUGUAAACCUCUUUUGUCAGGGAGCAACGCCGGCUACGUGUAGCCGGACUGAGAGUACCUGAAGAAAAAGCAUCGGCUAACUCCGUGCCAGCAGCCGCGGUAAUACGGAGGAUGCGAGCGUUAUCCGGAUUUAUUGGGUUUAAAGGGUGCGUAGGCGGGCGAGAAAGUUGAAUGUUAAAUCUACCGGCUUAACUGGUAGCUGCGUUCAAAACUUCUUGUCUUGAGUGAAGUAGAGGCAGGCGGAAUUCCUAGUGUAGCGGUGAAAUGCGUAGAUAUUAGGAGGAACACCAGUGGCGAAGGCGGCCUGCUGGGCUUUAACUGACGCUGAGGCUCGAAAGCGUGGGGAGCAAACAGGAUUAGAUACCCUAGUAGUC